RNAcentral lists this unclassified non-coding RNA (314 nucleotides) under uncultured fungus. Its description in RNAcentral is "sequence contains ITS1". The stretch from base 1 to 105 matches the Rfam family "5.8S ribosomal RNA", at positions 50 to 154 of the family's 154-position model. Lineage: Eukaryota; Fungi. The record is from RNAcentral.
GAAAUGCGAUAAGUAAUGUGAAUUGCAGAAUUCAGUGAACCAUCGAAUCUUUGAACGCACAUUGCGCUCCUUGGAAUUCCGAGGAGCAUGCCUGUUUGAGCGUCAGUAAAUCUCCCUCAACCCAAAGGGUUGGUGAUGGAUCAUGCGGGCAGUCCCGCCGAUCCGAAUUGCAUUAAGCCCGGCCACAUCCUUGCGGCUAUCAGCGUAAUAGGUCAAACCGUCUCGCUGGCUAUCGCCCUUGGAGGAGUGCUGCGCCUUAAUCUAUAUUAUUUGAACUUGACCUCAAAUCAGGUAGGGUUACCCGCUGAACUUAA